UUAACCUUGCGAAAGUAAGACUAAUACCCAAUGAUAUCCCACGAAGGCAUCUGAAUGGGAUUAAAGAUUUAUCGGUGAUGGAUGGGGAUGCGUCUGAUUAGCUUGUUGGCGGGUAACGGCCCACCAAGGCUACGAUCAGUAGGGGUUCUGAGAGGAAGGUCCCCCACAUUGGAACUGAGACACGGUCCAAACUCCUACGGGAGGCAGCAGUGAGGAAUAUUGGUCAAUGGGCGAGAGCCUGAACCAGCCAAGUAGCGUGCAGGAUGACGGCCCUAUGGGUUGUAAACUGCUUUAUAAGGGAAUAAAGUGAGUCUCGCGAGACUUUUGCAUGUACCUUAUGAAUAAGGACCGGCUAAUUCCGUG
RNAcentral lists this ribosomal RNA (363 nucleotides) under uncultured bacterium. RNAcentral's name for it is "bacterial SSU rRNA". It matches the Rfam family "Bacterial small subunit ribosomal RNA", at positions 143 to 507 of the family's 1533-position model. The record is from RNAcentral.